This 522-nucleotide ribosomal RNA is filed under the name uncultured bacterium. Its description in RNAcentral is "bacterial SSU rRNA". It matches the Rfam family "Bacterial small subunit ribosomal RNA", at positions 777 to 1297 of the family's 1533-position model. The record is from RNAcentral.
AAUAGAUACCCGGGUAGUCCACGCCGUAAACGUUGGGCGCUAGAUGUGGGGACCAUUCCACGGUUUCCGCGUCGUAGCUAACGCAUUAAGCGCCCCGCCUGGGGAGUACGGCCGCAAGGCUAAAACUCAAAGGAAUUGGCGGGGGCCCGCACAAGCGGCGGAGCAUGCGGAUUAAUUCGAUGCAACGCGAAGAACCUUACCAAGGCUUGACAUAUGCGAGAACGCUCUAGAAAUAGAGAACUCUUUGGACACUCGUAUACAGGUGGUGCAUGGUUGUCGUCAGCUCGUGUCGUGAGAUGUUGGGUUAAGUCCCGCAACGAGCGCAACCCUCGUCGCAUGUUGCCAGCACGUAAUGGUGGGAACUCAUGUGAGACUGCCGGGGUCAACUCGGAGGAAGGUGGGGAUGACGUCAAAUCAUCAUGCCCCUUAUGUCUUGGGCUUCACGCAUGCUACAAUGGCCGGUACAAAGGGCUGCGAAACCGCAAGGUGGAGCGAAUCCCAAAAAGCCGGUCUCAGUUCGGA